Molecule: long non-coding RNA, 768 nt
Filed under: Ananas comosus (pineapple)
Lineage: Eukaryota; Viridiplantae; Streptophyta; Magnoliopsida; Poales; Bromeliaceae
Description: long non-coding RNA (ACOM_LNC003093)
Source: RNAcentral
UAUUGUCAUCAUAAUGAUUUUUGGAGUACAAUUUUUAAUUUUUAUAAAAUCAAUUUUAUUUUGACAGAUUUUUGAUAAAAAUAUUUAAAAUUUUCGAAAUCUGUGAAAGUGUACCGGUACAAAAAAACCUUGUACCGGUACAAAACACUGUAUACCGCGGUAUUAUAUCGGUUACAGCAUUCGUUUUUCCCCCAAACUCUUUCAAAAUCCCUCAUUUCUCUCACUAAAAAUCCCAGGUGGUCUUUCUCCUUCAGAUUCACGUAUUUCCCCCCUAGAUUUGUAAGUAUUUUGCUUAGAUUUGAAGAUCUUAUCCCGGUUUUGCUAUUUUUUCAAAAAAUUUCGAGUUGAAGCAUGAUCUGCAUUUUGAUUUGUUUUUGAUGUAAUUUUUUGCUGUGAAUCAGUAUUUGGACAUAUAAUCUUGCUUCUAGAACACUUAGAUCAAGUUAUAACGCUGUAUUUUUUGCUGAUCUAUGAUCUGUACCUCAAUAUACAUGAAAUUUCGAAAUUUUUGAUAAAAUGUCAUUUUUUAUUAAAGUUUUUGCAUGAUCUGGUUAGAAAUAGCGUUAGUAUGCAUUCUAAUAUUAUUAGAAUUUUUUUCGCUAUUUUUACAGAUUUUUUCAAGAUUUUGUUCAUGCAAGGUUGAUUUUUGUAUAGAAAAAAUGGCGUUUUCGUUCGUGUUGCUAAUUUUGGUGCUGAUGGCCGCUGGUCGUGGUCGUGGACGUGGCCGCGGGCGUCGAGCGACGUCCAAAAGGACUCGUACUGCAGGCG